GCAUAACGCGAAGAACCUUACCAGGUCUUGACAUCCUGCUAACGAAGUAGAGAUACAUUAGGUGCCCUUCGGGGAAAGCAGAGACAGGUGGUGCAUGGUUGUCGUCAGCUCGUGUCGUGAGAUGUUGGGUUAAGUCCCGCAACGAGCGCAACCCUUACUGAUAGUUGCUACGCAAGAGCACUCUAUCGGGACUGCCGUUGACAAAACGGAGGAAGGUGGGGAUGACGUCAAAUCAUCAUGCCCCUUAUGACCUGGGCCACACACGUACUACAAUGGCCGUUAACAACGGGAAGCAAAAUGGCGACAUGGAGCAAACCCCAAACGGAACGUUCAUUCGGUAUGUCAGGCGUGCAACUACCGUCCGUCGCAUAGAAGACCGGAACGUUAGUCUAGUAAUACGCGGAGUCAGCACGCCGCGGUGAA
Molecule: ribosomal RNA, 423 nt
Filed under: uncultured bacterium
Lineage: Bacteria
Description: bacterial SSU rRNA
Rfam family: Bacterial small subunit ribosomal RNA
Source: RNAcentral